UUGCAGCUUGUUGAAUGUGAAUAUUUUCUAGGUCCUUCUCUCCUCUGUGACAGUAAACUCAAUAUCUUUGAGACAUUUAAGGACGUCAUCUUUGGGCUUUGGGGAACACUGAUUGACAUUUUUUCUGCCGUUUCCU
This is a long non-coding RNA of Sander lucioperca (pikeperch), 136 nucleotides long. RefSeq lists it as uncharacterized. The record is from RefSeq and is a predicted model, not a curated record. Lineage: Eukaryota; Metazoa; Chordata; Actinopteri; Perciformes; Percidae. The transcript is spliced from 3 exons.